AGAGUUUGAUCCUGGCUCAGGAUGAACGCUGGCGGCGUGCUUAACACAUGCAAGUCGAACGGACAUAGAGGGGCUUGCUCCUCUAUGUUAGUGGCGGACGGGUGAGUAACGCGUGAGCAACCUGCCCAUAUCAGGGGAAUAACACAGUGAAAAUUGUGCUAAUACCGCAUAAGACCACGAAGCGGCAUCGCUUUGCGGUAAAAGAUUUAUCGGAUAUGGAUGGGCUCGCGUCCCAUUAGAUAGUUGGCGGGGUAACGGCCCACCAAGUCGACGAUGGGUAGCCGACCUGAGAGGGUGAUCGGCCACAUUGGAACUGAGAAACGGCCCAGACUCCUACGGGAGGCAGCAGUGGGGAAUAUUGGGCAAUGGAGGCAACUCUGACCCAGCAACGCCGCGUGAAUGAUGAAGGUCUUCGGAUUGUAAAGUUCUGUGACGGGGGACGAACACAAUGACGGUACCCCGAUAGCAAGCCACGGCUAACUACGUGCCAGCAGCCGCGGUAAUACGUAGGUGGCAAGCGUUAUCCGG
Molecule: ribosomal RNA, 528 nt
Filed under: uncultured bacterium
Lineage: Bacteria
Description: bacterial SSU rRNA
Rfam family: Bacterial small subunit ribosomal RNA
Source: RNAcentral